This 301-nucleotide ribosomal RNA is filed under the name uncultured bacterium. Its description in RNAcentral is "partial 16S ribosomal RNA". It matches the Rfam family "Bacterial small subunit ribosomal RNA", at positions 509 to 807 of the family's 1533-position model. The record is from RNAcentral.
CAGUCGCCGCGGGAAUACAGAGGGUGCGAGCGUUAAUCGGAUUUACUGGGCGUAAAGCGUGCGUAGGCGGCUUCUUAAGUCGGAUGUGAAAUCCCUGAGCUUAACUUAGGAAUUGCAUUCGAUACUGGUAAGCUAGAGUAUGGGAGAGGAUGGUAGAAUUCCAGGUGUAGCGGUGAAAUGCGUAGAGAUCUGGAGGAAUACCGAUGGCGAAGGCAGCCAUCUGGCCUAAUACUGACGCUGAGGUACGAAAGCAUGGGGAGCAAACAGGAUUAGAUACCCCUGUAGUCCCUGUCUCUUAUAC